Molecule: ribosomal RNA, 301 nt
Filed under: uncultured bacterium
Lineage: Bacteria
Description: partial 16S ribosomal RNA
Rfam family: Bacterial small subunit ribosomal RNA
Source: RNAcentral
CAGCCGCCGCGGGAAUACGUAGGUCCCGAGCGUUGUCCGGAUUUAUUGGGCGUAAAGCGAGCGCAGGCGGUUAGAUAAGUCUGAAGUUAAAGGCUGUGGCUUAACCAUAGUACGCUUUGGAAACUGUUUAACUUGAGUGCAAGAGGGGAGAGUGGAAUUCCAUGUGUAGCGGUGAAAUGCGUAGAUAUAUGGAGGAACACCGGUGGCGAAAGCGGCUCUCUGGCUUGUAACUGACGCUGAGGCUCGAAAGCGUGUGGAGCAAACAGGAUUAGAUACCCGGGUAGUCCCUGUCUCUUAUACA